UCGGACGGUAACAUGAGGUGCUUGCACUUUGUAGACGAGUGGCGCACGGGUGCGUAACGCGUAUAGAACCUACUCUGUACAGGGGGAUAGCCCAGAGAAAUUUGGAUUAAUACCCCGUGGUAACUAUAAAUGGCAUCAUUUAUAGUUUAAAGUUUUCGGACGGUACAGGAUGGCUAUGCGUCCUAUUAGUUAGAUGGUGAGGUAACGGCUCACCAUGGCAUCGAUAGGUAGGGGCCCUGAGAGGGGGAUCCCCCACACUGGUACUGAGACACGGACCAGACUCCUACGGGAGGCAGCAGUGAGGAAUAUUGGACAAUGGGCGUAAGCCUGAUCCAGCCAUGCCGCGUGCAGGAAGACGGCCCUAUGGGUUGUAAACUGCUUUUAUACGGGAAGAAUAAGGGACACGAGUGUCCUGGUGACGGUACCGUAAGAAUAAGGACCGGCUAACUCCGUGCCAGCAGCCGCGGUAAUACGGAGGGUCCGAGCGUUAUCCGGAAUUAUUGGGUUUAAAGGGUCCGCAGGCGGGCAAUUAAGUCAGGGGUGAAAUGGUACGGCUCAACCGUAGCACUGCCCUUGAUACUGGUUGUCUUGAGUCAUAGUGAAGUGGCCGGAAUAUGUAGUGUAGCGGUGAAAUGCAUAGAUAUUACAUAGAACACCGAUUGCGAAGGCAGGUCACUAACUAUCGACUGACGCUGAUGGACGAAAGCGUGGGGAGCGAACGGGAUUAGAUACCCCGGUAGUCCACGCCGUAAACGAUGGAUACUAGCUGUCCGCUGCCUUGAGCAGUGGGCGGCCCAGCGAAAGUGAUAAGUAUCCCCACCUGGGGAGUACGUUCGCAAGAAUGAAACUCAAAGGAAUUGACGGGGGCCCGCACAAGCGGUGGAGCAUGUGGUUUAAUUCGAUGAUACGCGAGGAACCUUACCAGGGCUUAAAUGCAUAAUGACAGGUCUAGAGAUAGACUUUUCUUCGGACAUUUUGCAAGGUGCUGCAUGGUUGUCGUCAGCUCGUGCCGU
This 1013-nucleotide ribosomal RNA is filed under the name uncultured bacterium. RNAcentral's name for it is "bacterial SSU rRNA". It matches the Rfam family "Bacterial small subunit ribosomal RNA", at positions 62 to 1068 of the family's 1533-position model. The record is from RNAcentral.